GACGAACGCUGGCGGCGUGCCUAAUACAUGCAAGUAGAACGCUGAAGAGAGGAGCUUGCUCUUCUUGGAUGAGUUGCGAACGGGUGAGUAACGCGUAGGUAACCUGCCUUGUAGCGGGGGAUAACUAUUGGAAACGAUAGCUAAUACCGCAUAACAAUGGAUGACACAUGUCAUUUAUUUGAAAGGGGCAAUUGCUCCACUACAAGAUGGACCUGCGUUGUAUUAGCUAGUAGGUGAGGUAAUGGCUCACCUAGGCGACGAUACAUAGCCGACCUGAGAGGGUGAUCGGCCACACUGGGACUGAGACACGGCCCAGACUCCUACGGGAGGAAGCAGUAGGGAAUCUUCGGCAAUGGGGGCAACCCUGACCGAGCAACGCCGCGUGAGUGAAGAAGGUUGUCGGAUCGUAAAGCUCUGUUGUAAGUCAAGAACGGGUGUGAGAGUGGAAAGUUCACAAUGUGACGGUAGCUUACCAGAAAGGGACGGCUAACUACGUG
Molecule: ribosomal RNA, 497 nt
Filed under: uncultured bacterium
Lineage: Bacteria
Description: partial 16S ribosomal RNA
Rfam family: Bacterial small subunit ribosomal RNA
Source: RNAcentral